AUAAGAGGUGCCGUAGGGUGGAGAAUUGAAAUUAUGAACCUAACCGUUCGAGGCCUACUGGUUGCUCUCGCUGGUAGGAUUAUCCUCGUCAGAGAGUUUGUUUACUGCGGCAUCUUUAAUUUUUUUG
This 127-nucleotide non-coding RNA is filed under the name Wasmannia auropunctata (little fire ant). The record is from RNAcentral. Lineage: Eukaryota; Metazoa; Arthropoda; Insecta; Hymenoptera; Formicidae.